AUUGAACGCUGGCGGCAGGCUUAACACAUGCAAGUCGAGCGGUAACAGGGGGAGCUUGCUCCCUGCUGACGAGCGGCGGACGGGUGAGUAAUGCAUAGGAAUCUGCCCGGUAGUUGGGGAUAGCCCGGGGAAACCCGGAUUAAUACCGAAUACGCCCUACGGGGGAAAGCAGGGGAUCUUCGGACCUUGCGCUAUCGGAUGAGCCUAUGUCGGAUUAGCUGGUUGGUGGGGUAACGGCCUACCAAGGCGACGAUCCGUAGCUGGUCUGAGAGGAUGAUCAGCCACAUCGGGACUGAGACACGGCCCGAACUCCUACGGGAGGCAGCAGUGGGGAAUAUUGGACAAUGGGGGCAACCCUGAUCCAGCCAUGCCGCGUGUGUGAAGAAGGCUUUCGGGUUGUAAAGCACUUUCAGUGAGGAGGAAAACCUGAUGGUUAAUAUCCAUGAGGCUUGACGUUACUCACAGAAGAAGCACCGGCUAACUCCGUGCCAGCAGCCGCGGUAAUACGGAGGGUGCGAGCGUUAAUCGGAAUUACUGGGCGUAAAGCGCGCGUAGGUGGUUUGGUAAGCGAGAUGUGAAAGCCCCGGGCUUAACCUGGGAACGGCAUUUCGAACUGUCAGACUAGAGUGUGGUAGAGGGUAGU
RNAcentral lists this ribosomal RNA (643 nucleotides) under uncultured bacterium. RNAcentral describes it as "bacterial SSU rRNA". It matches the Rfam family "Bacterial small subunit ribosomal RNA", at positions 28 to 662 of the family's 1533-position model. The record is from RNAcentral.